RNAcentral lists this ribosomal RNA (516 nucleotides) under uncultured Pseudomonadaceae bacterium. Its description in RNAcentral is "bacterial SSU rRNA". It matches the Rfam family "Bacterial small subunit ribosomal RNA", at positions 13 to 524 of the family's 1533-position model. Lineage: Bacteria; Pseudomonadati; Pseudomonadota; Gammaproteobacteria; Pseudomonadales; Pseudomonadaceae. The record is from RNAcentral.
UUGAUCCUGGCUCAGAUUGAACGCUGGCGGCAGGCCUAACACAUGCAAGUCGAGCGGUAGAGAGAAGCUUGCUUCUCUUGAGAGCGGCGGACGGGUGAGUAAUGCCUAGGAAUCUGCCUGGUAGUGGGGGAUAACGUUCGGAAACGGACGCUAAUACCGCAUACGUCCUACGGGAGAAAGCAGGGGACCUUCGGGCCUUGCGCUAUCAGAUGAGCCUAGGUCGGAUUAGCUAGUUGGUGAGGUAAUGGCUCACCAAGGCGACGAUCCGUAACUGGUCUGAGAGGAUGAUCAGUCACACUGGAACUGAGACACGGUCCAGACUCCUACGGGAGGCAGCAGUGGGGAAUAUUGGACAAUGGGCGAAAGCCUGAUCCAGCCAUGCCGCGUGUGUGAAGAAGGUCUUCGGAUUGUAAAGCACUUUAAGUUGGGAGGAAGGGCAGUUACCUAAUACGUGAUUGUUUUGACGUUACCGACAGAAUAAGCACCGGCUAACUCUGUGCCAGCAGCCGCGGUAAU